RNAcentral lists this long non-coding RNA (374 nucleotides) under Cimex lectularius (bed bug). Its description in RNAcentral is "uncharacterized LOC112128122, transcript variant X2". Lineage: Eukaryota; Metazoa; Arthropoda; Insecta; Hemiptera; Cimicidae. The record is from RNAcentral.
GUGGGGGCCCCCCCUAGGUAAAAAUUUCUUGUCUAGUUUAACUGAGUCUAGUUCAUCCCCGGCGGUCGGAAAGAAAUGUCAAAUUCUUCAGGAUAUUUUGAGUUUCCAGUGCGGAGGUUGAGGAUUAGAUUGUCGACGUUCUGAGAUAAUUGUGCCCUGUGCCAAAAUCAAGACAUCCCGCAUCUUUUAUUUGACUCCUCCUUUCAAGGGGAUACAAAUCGCUCUUGAUGCAAUGCACACCCAUCUACGUCGGAUGUGACUACCCGGAAAAUUACAACCAAGGAACGGUUAAGGGGCAGCUGCAUCACUAAUAGUUCCUUAAGCCAGGAACACACUUAUCCGAUGCUACGCCAUGCGACGCUACCCGAUGCUAC